RNAcentral lists this ribosomal RNA (901 nucleotides) under Curreya pithyophila. Its description in RNAcentral is "LSU rRNA". It matches the Rfam family "Eukaryotic large subunit ribosomal RNA", at positions 38 to 953 of the family's 3401-position model. The record is from RNAcentral. Lineage: Eukaryota; Fungi; Ascomycota; Dothideomycetes; Pleosporales; Cucurbitariaceae.
GCAUAUCAAUAAGCGGAGGGAAUAGAAACCAACAGGGAUUGCCCUAGUAACGGCGAAGUGAAGCGGCAACAGCUCAAAUUUGAAAUCUGGCUCUCUUUGGGGGUCCGAGUUGUAAUUUGCAGAGGAUGCUUUGGCAUUGGCGGCGGUCUAAGUUCCUUGGAACAGGACAUCACAGAGGGUGAGAAUCCCGUACGUGGUCGCCUGCCUUUGCCGUGUAAAGCUCCUUCGACGAGUCGAGUUGUUUGGGAAUGCAGCUCUAAAUGGGAGGUAAAUUUCUUCUAAAGCUAAAUACUGGCCAGAGACCGAUAGCGCACAAGUAGAGUGAUCGAAAGAUGAAAAGUACUUUGGAAAGAGAGUCAAAAAGCACGUGAAAUUGUUGAAAGGGAAGCGCUUGCAGCCAGACUUGCCCGCAGUUGCUCACCUAGGCUUUGGCCUGGGGCACUCUUCUGCGGGCAGGCCAGCAUCAGUUUGGGCGGUUGGAUAAAGGCCUCUGUCACGUAUCUCCCUUCGGGGUGACCUUAUAGGGGAGGCGCAAUGCAACCAGCCCGGACUGAGGUCCGCGCAUCUGCUAGGAUGCUGGCGUAAUGGCUGUAAGCGGCCCGUCUUGAAACACGGACCAAGGAGUCUAACAUCUAUGCGAGUGUUUGGGUGUCAAGCCCGAGCGCGCAAUGAAAGUGAACGGAGGUGGGAACCCUUUGGGUGCACCAUCGACCGAUCCUGAUGUCUUCGGAUGGAUUUGAGUAAGAGCAUAGCUGUUGGGACCCGAAAGAUGGUGAACUAUGCUUGAAUAGGGUGAAGCCAGAGGAAACUCUGGUGGAGGCUCGCAGCGGUUCUGACGUGCAAAUCGAUCGUCAAAUUUGGGCAUAGGGGCGAAAGACUAAUCGAAACCAUCUAGUAGCUG